GUUACUCAGGGAUAGCCUUCCGAAAGGGAGAUUAAUACCUGAUGGUGUUCAAAUUCCGCAUGUUAUUUGAACUAAAGAUUUAUCGGUAACGGAUGGGGAUGCGUGACAUUAGGAUAGUAGGCGGGGUAACGGCUCACCUAGUCUACGAUGUCAGGGGUUCUGAGAGGAAGGUCCCCCACACUGGAACUGAGACACGGUCCAGACUCCUACGGGAGGCAGCAGUGAGGAAUAUUGGUCAAUGGUCGGAAGACUGAACCAGCCAAGUAGCGUGCAGGAUGACGGCCCUCUGGGUUGUAAACUGCUUUUAGUUGGGAAUAAAAGGGAGUACGUGUACUCUGUAUUGUAUGUACCAUCAGAAAAAGGACCGGCUAAUUCCGUG
RNAcentral lists this ribosomal RNA (379 nucleotides) under uncultured bacterium. RNAcentral's name for it is "bacterial SSU rRNA". It matches the Rfam family "Bacterial small subunit ribosomal RNA", at positions 132 to 507 of the family's 1533-position model. The record is from RNAcentral.